Molecule: unclassified non-coding RNA, 375 nt
Filed under: uncultured bacterium
Lineage: Bacteria
Description: contains 16S-23S intergenic spacer region
Source: RNAcentral
ACUUCACAGUUCACACACACAACACAAAAAAUAUAGUACACCAGUCAAGUCAAGCCCUCUCUCUCAUUCUUUGUAACAAUGCUAAUGAAUUUCUUUUCACACCAUGUGUGUCUCACUCACUGUCUCCUCCCCAAAUUAGUAAUCUUUUUUUUAUUUUUCUUUCAAGUUGAUGAUAGCUUUAGAAGUGUGAAGCGUUUGGUAUAGAGCACAGUGAGUGAACUCUGAAAAACUAUUUACCUUUUUGCUGUUUGUUUUCCACUUUGGAACUUGCAUGUCUGAAAAAUUGAAAGUUUUCACACUCUUGUUGGUUCUUCGCUGGAACCACGCACGACACUUUCAUGCAACCCGAAUCAUUUUAUUUUUAUUUUCUCUCAC